UACGUAGGCAGCGAGCGUUGUUCGGAGUUACUGGGCGUAAAGGGUGUGUAGGCGGUCUUCUAAGUCUGGUGUGAAAUCUCCCGGCUCAACUGGGAGGGUGCGCCGGAAACUGGGAGGCUAGAGUGUGGGAUGGGAGAGUGGAAUUCCUGGUAUAGCGGUGAAAUGCGUAGAUAUCAGGAGGAACACCUGUGGUGUAGACGGCUCUCUGGACCGCAACUGACGCUGAGACACGAAAGCGUGGGUAGCAAACAGG
This 253-nucleotide ribosomal RNA is filed under the name uncultured bacterium. Its description in RNAcentral is "partial 16S ribosomal RNA". It matches the Rfam family "Bacterial small subunit ribosomal RNA", at positions 524 to 776 of the family's 1533-position model. The record is from RNAcentral.